This 100-nucleotide non-coding RNA is filed under the name human gut metagenome. RNAcentral describes it as "Pyrrolysine insertion sequence mttB". It matches the Rfam family "Pyrrolysine insertion sequence mttB". The record is from RNAcentral.
UAGUCCGACUCGAAGGUCCCCGAUUCACAGGCGGGCCACGAGAAGACCAUGACGUCGAUCCUCCCCGCAUUCGCUGGAGCGAACACCCUCUACGGUGCCG